AUGAAGCAGCCAGGGCAGCUCCUCCUCCGCCUGCUGCUCCUGCUCUGCCUCGCCAAGAUCAAACGUGCAGCUGCCUGCUUUGAAGAUUGCAGCUCAGUAAAUGUAAAUGCGACGACGACAGAAAUCCAUAUUGACACAUUACCAGAAAACUUUACAAUAAGCAAUGUAACUUUUGCGAAUGGAACACUGUUCCAGAAUUCAUCACUGAACAAUUCAAUAGGAGGUCUUUCACCUGGUAUACAAUACAUUAUCAACUUUCAAAAUGGUACAGAAGCAUGUUGCAAAAACAUUACAACAAUGCCCACUCCAGUGUUUAACAUCGAGGUUUCCAAUGUCAGUACACAUGAAGUAUCUUUAACAUGGGAAAACAAAGAUGCUGCUGCUUCUGAGUACAGUUACAGGAUACUCAUUGCAAAUGAAACUUCAUCUACUAGGAACAUGAUGUCCAGUACCACAAAAGCUGUAAUUACAGGCUUAAAUCCUGGUACAUUUUACCAAUUCACAAUAUUUCCAUGCGCAGCAGAUAACAAGACUGAAGGAGACCCAAAUUCGACGUUGAUAUAUACAAGUAAGUCAUUCAGCCACAUAUAACUGUUUCUGAAUUCGCACUCUGCCAAUCAGUAUUCU
RNAcentral lists this long non-coding RNA (627 nucleotides) under Gopherus agassizii (Agassiz's desert tortoise). RNAcentral describes it as "lncRNA (ENSGAGG00000009062.1)". Lineage: Eukaryota; Metazoa; Chordata; Testudines; Testudinidae. The record is from RNAcentral.